GGCGGCGUAGCUCAGCUGGCUAGAGCGUUCGGUUCAUACCCGAAAGGUCGGGGGUUCGAGCCCCUCCACCGCUA
Brevibacillus panacihumi W25 is the source of this 74-nucleotide transfer RNA. It matches the Rfam family "tRNA". From Rfam's summary of the family: Transfer RNA (tRNA) molecules are approximately 80 nucleotides in length. NCBI's taxonomy places the organism in Bacteria, Bacillati, Bacillota, Bacilli, Caryophanales, Paenibacillaceae. The record is from Rfam.